GGCAGGGUGAGCAAGUUUGAGUCUCUUCAGCUGGCGCUAGGCAUAGGGGCUGGCCCUAGCUGUCCAGUAACUGACCCUGGGGUGUUAGGGCUGAUGACUGGUCCAGAGUGUGAGUACGGCAAAGGAGGUGGCUGGAGUUUCUUGCAUCCCUGGGAACUGGUUAACCCUGGGAAGGAGGAGCAGUCACUUCAGAUGUCAAAGCAUCAAAGCACAGAAAGCAAGAGACCCAGUUUGUGUGGUUAUGGGUUGAGGAGUGAGUGAGGAAUGCUGGCAGAGGCCCGCGGGGCCCCUUCUCCUCUCAGGAGUGGUUAGGGAGGAAAGGGAUUGCUGGCUACCACAGCACAGGUGCUGAAAGUUGGCUCAAUUCUUUGCAGGAGGACAGAGACUGCCUUCUGGUAAGAUCUUUCUUGGGCCUGUCUGCGGGGCAGCAGCUCCUGGCAGAGAUCCUAGAGCACAUGGGCUGUGGAGCUGCUUGGACCAUCAGCCUCAACCUCAGGGCUUUGGUCUGGCUGAGCUCAGCUGUUUACAGUCUGCAGCAGGCCGGGGAAGGCCAGAAAGGGCUGUGUGAGCGUGUGCUGUAUGGAACAGCAUGGGAGUUUCAGUUUCUCUGGGCAAGAUCAUGGGGAGCACCCCAAGAGCUUAGGCAGUGCAAGCCUCUUUUGCAAUGCCCCUGUGCCAUGCUGCCCUGCCUUGGAGCCUGCCGACUACAGACUGAAACCUCUACAAACUGUG
Molecule: long non-coding RNA, 732 nt
Filed under: Heterocephalus glaber (naked mole-rat)
Lineage: Eukaryota; Metazoa; Chordata; Mammalia; Rodentia; Bathyergidae
Description: lncRNA (ENSHGLG00100044865.1)
Source: RNAcentral